Long non-coding RNA from Esox lucius (northern pike), 642 nucleotides. RefSeq lists it as uncharacterized. NCBI's taxonomy places the organism in Eukaryota, Metazoa, Chordata, Actinopteri, Esociformes, Esocidae. The record is from RefSeq and is a predicted model, not a curated record. The transcript is spliced from 2 exons.
UGUUGGCUCAUUUGCUAAGGAUUUGAACUGUGGAAGAUAGCUAGCUUACGUAACAAAAGAUGGAAUUUAGAAGAAAAGCAAUACAUUAUACAAAUUAAAUAAUAUAUGUGCCCUUAAGAGAGGUCUUUAGUGAAGUUGUUGAGCAGCAGAAGCAUUAGAAGAUGGACGGAUCUGAUGUUACAUUGGCGGGAGCAGCAUCGCAGAGGGGAAGUUAUGAUUCAGGUCUAACAGCAGCUAGCAGCAAAGUUUUGUAACUGCAGCAGUCUUUACAAGAGGAGAGACAGAGACAAUUAUUAUUAGGCCUCAAGACCUGCGGUUCAUCCGGCUGGACGAAGAAAGGUGCACUGCUCAAAUGAAGACGUUAUAAAAUGAGUCGUUGUGGCAAAAGAACAACAUAAAUAACUGCUUUCGUACCUGUAAUCUUAUUUCUAAUGCAGCGAGAGUAACCGAGAUUUAAGGCAAUGUGUGAUGGAUGAUACAGCAUAAAAUAGUGUCGAUGAUAGUAAACAAGGCAAAUUAUCACAGGUACUAAAUGUUUUGGGCGUUUCCUGUAAACCUGGCCAGAUAUUAUGAAUAUUAUGAAUACAAAGCCGCUUAAAAUGUAAAAAUUAUCUUUCAAAUAAAAGUUUUUGUUAGAAAAUC